RNAcentral lists this ribosomal RNA (404 nucleotides) under uncultured bacterium. RNAcentral's name for it is "bacterial SSU rRNA". It matches the Rfam family "Bacterial small subunit ribosomal RNA", at positions 362 to 758 of the family's 1533-position model. The record is from RNAcentral.
UUUUGGACAAUGGGGGCAACCCUGAUCCAGCCAUGCCGCGUGAGUGAAGAAGGCCUUCGGGUUGUAAAGCUCUUUCGGACGGAACGAAAUGGGUGGGGUUAAUACCCCUGUCCGAUGACGGUACCGUAAGAAGAAGCACCGGCUAACUACGUGCCAGCAGCCGCGGUAAUACGUAGGGUGCGAGCGUUAAUCGGAAUUACUGGGCGUAAAGCGUGCGCAGGCGGUUUCGUAAGCUGGAGGUGAAAUCCCCGGGCUUAACCUGGGAAUGGCCUUCAGGACUGCGAGGCUAGAGUGCGGCAGAGGGAGGUGGAAUUCCACGUGUAGCAGUGAAAUGCGUAGAUAUGUGGAGGAACACCGAUGGCGAAGGCAGCCUCCUGGGCCAGCACUGACGCUCAUGCACGAAA